RNAcentral lists this ribosomal RNA (374 nucleotides) under uncultured Anaplasma sp. Its description in RNAcentral is "bacterial SSU rRNA". It matches the Rfam family "Bacterial small subunit ribosomal RNA", at positions 1108 to 1482 of the family's 1533-position model. Lineage: Bacteria; Pseudomonadati; Pseudomonadota; Alphaproteobacteria; Rickettsiales; Anaplasmataceae. The record is from RNAcentral.
UCCUUAGUUACCAGCGGGUAAUGCCGGGCACUUUAAGGAAACUGCCAGUGAUAAACUGGAGGAAGGUGGGGAUGAUGUCAAGUCAGCACGGCCCUUAUGGGGUGGGCUACACACGUGCUACAAUGGCGACUACAAUAGGUUGCAACGUCGCAAGGCUGAGCUAAUCCGUAAAAGUCGUCUCAGUUCGGAUUGUCCUCUGUAACUCGAGGGCAUGAAGUCGGAAUCGCUAGUAAUCGUGGAUCAGCAUGCCACGGUGAAUACGUUCUCGGGUCUUGUACACACUGCCCGUCACGCCAUGGGAAUUGGCUUAACUCGAAGCUGGUGCGCCAACCGUAAGGAGGCAGCCAUUUAAGGUUGGGUCGGUGACUAGGGUG